UUUAUAAAGAGUUUGAUCCUGGCUCAGGACGAACGCUGGCGGCGCGCCUAACACAUGCAAGUCGAACGAGCGAGAGAGAGCUUGCUUUCUCGAGCGAGUGGCGAACGGGUGAGUAACGCGUGAGGAACCUGCCUCAAAGAGGGGGACAACAGUUGGAAACGACUGCUAAUACCGCAUAAGCCCACGACCCGGCAUCGGGUUGAGGGAAAAGGAGCAAUCCGCUUUGAGAUGGCCUCGCGUCCGAUUAGCUAGUUGGUGAGGUAACGGCCCACCAAGGCGACGAUCGGUAGCCGGACUGAGAGGUUGAACGGCCACAUUGGGACUGAGACACGGCCC
This 336-nucleotide ribosomal RNA is filed under the name Faecalibacterium prausnitzii. RNAcentral describes it as "bacterial SSU rRNA". It matches the Rfam family "Bacterial small subunit ribosomal RNA", at positions 1 to 332 of the family's 1533-position model. Lineage: Bacteria; Bacillati; Bacillota; Clostridia; Eubacteriales; Oscillospiraceae. The record is from RNAcentral.